This 481-nucleotide ribosomal RNA is filed under the name uncultured bacterium. Its description in RNAcentral is "bacterial SSU rRNA". It matches the Rfam family "Bacterial small subunit ribosomal RNA", at positions 28 to 507 of the family's 1533-position model. The record is from RNAcentral.
GAUGAACGCUGGCGGCGUGCUUAACACAUGCAAGUCGAACGAAGCAAUGCGACGGAAGCCUUCGGGUGGAAGACGUAUUGACUGAGUGGCGGACGGGUGAGUAACGCGUGGGUAACCUGCCUUGCACAGGGGGAUAACAGUUAGAAAUGACUGCUAAUACCGCAUAACCCGCUAGUACCGCAUGGUACAGACGGAAAAGAUUUAUCGGUGUAAGAUGGACCCGCGUCUGAUUAGCUAGUUGGUAGGGUAACGGCCUACCAAGGCGACGAUCAGUAGCCGGCCUGAGAGGGUGAACGGCCACAUUGGGACUGAGACACGGCCCAAACUCCUACGGGAGGCAGCAGUGGGGAAUCUUCCGCAAUGGGCGAAAGCCUGACGGAGCAAUGCCGCGUAUAGGAAGAAGGUUUUCGGAUUGUAAACUAUUGUCGUUAGGGAAGAUACAAGACAGUACCUAAGGAGGAAGCCCCGGGCUAACUAUGUG